AAGGCUCUGUAGCUCCCGAACGCCCAAGUACCACUUGGGACAUUCAUGUAGGGAGAACGGAGCCUU
This 66-nucleotide small RNA is filed under the name Hymenobacter sp. PAMC 26628. RNAcentral's name for it is "DUF3800-VIII RNA". It matches the Rfam family "DUF3800-VIII RNA". Rfam says of the family: Bacteroidetes, Cyanobacteria, Firmicutes, Planctomycetes (1 example), Proteobacteria, Tenericutes (1 example). Nearby to DUF3800 Lineage: Bacteria; Pseudomonadati; Bacteroidota; Cytophagia; Cytophagales; Hymenobacteraceae. The record is from Rfam by way of RNAcentral.